AUUGAACGCUGGCGGCAUGCCUUACACAUGCAAGUCGAACGGCAGCGCGGGCUUCGGCCUGGCGGCGAGUGGCGAACGGGUGAGUAAUGCAUCGGAACGUGCCCAGUAGUGGGGGAUAGCCCAGCGAAAGCCGGAUUAAUACCGCAUACGACCUGAGGGUGAAAGCGGGGGACCGAAAGGCCUCGCGCUAUUGGAGCGGCCGAUGUCGGAUUAGCUAGUUGGUGGGGUAAAGGCUUACCAAGGCGACGAUCCGUAGCUGGUCUGAGAGGACGACCAGCCACACUGGGGCUGAGACACGGCCCAGACUCCUACGGGAGGCAGCAGUGGGGAAUUUUGGACAAUGGGGGCAACCCUGAUCCAGCCAUGCCGCGUGCGGGAAGAAGGCCUUCGGGUUGUAAACCGCUUUUGUUCGGGAAGAAAUCCUCUGGGCUAAUACCCCGGGGGGAUGACGGUACCGGAAGAAUAAGCACCGGCUAACUACGUG
Molecule: ribosomal RNA, 484 nt
Filed under: uncultured bacterium
Lineage: Bacteria
Description: partial 16S ribosomal RNA
Rfam family: Bacterial small subunit ribosomal RNA
Source: RNAcentral